Molecule: unclassified non-coding RNA, 654 nt
Filed under: Hevea brasiliensis (rubber tree)
Lineage: Eukaryota; Viridiplantae; Streptophyta; Magnoliopsida; Malpighiales; Euphorbiaceae
Source: RNAcentral
UUCUUUCGGUUUCCAUUUUGAUGAUGACGAUAAACCCCGUGAAGAGUGUGGUGUUGUGGGUAUCUAUGGCGACCCAGAAGCCUCUCGUCUUUGCUAUUUAGCUCUUCAUGCUUUGCAGCAUCGAGGCCAAGAAGGUGCUGGUAUUGUUGCUGUAAAUAAUAAUGUUCUGCAAUCUAUUACCGGUGUUGGGUUAGUUUCUGAUGUCUUUAACGAAUCAAAACUUGAUCAGUUACCUGGUGAUUUAGCCAUAGGACAUGUCAGAUAUUCUACUGCAGGGUCUUCUAUGCUUAAAAAUGUUCAACCUUUUGUUGCUGGGUACCGGUUUGGGUCUGUUGGGGUUGCUCACAAUGGGAAUUUAGUGAAUUAUAGGAAAUUGAGGGCUACCCUUGAAGAUUCUGGUUCCAUUUUUAAUACUAGUUCUGAUACUGAGGUUGUUUUGCAUUUGAUUGCGAUUUCCAAGGCUAGGCCUUUCUUUCUGAGGAUUGUUGAUGCAUGCGAGAAGUUAGAAGGCGCCUAUUCUAUGGUGUUUGCGACAGAGGAUAAAUUGGUUGCUGUAAGGGACCCUCAUGGUUUUAGGCCUUUGGUUAUGGGGAGAAGAAGUAAUGGUUCUAUUGUGUUUGCUUCUGAGACUUGUGCUCUUGAUUUGAUUGAAGC